UACGUCUGCCUGCAUGUUUGAGUGUUC
RNAcentral lists this non-coding RNA (27 nucleotides) under Mus musculus (house mouse). Lineage: Eukaryota; Metazoa; Chordata; Mammalia; Rodentia; Muridae. The record is from RNAcentral.